Non-coding RNA from Pimephales promelas (fathead minnow), 2418 nucleotides. The record is from RefSeq and is a predicted model, not a curated record. Lineage: Eukaryota; Metazoa; Chordata; Actinopteri; Cypriniformes; Leuciscidae.
UAACAUACUACAACAAAACUCCAGAGUCCUUUCAGUCCAGAUUUAAAAAAACAACAAAAAAACGUCUGUUUGUUUCACGAUGACUAUCGCGAUCUGCGAUAUGACGUCACAACGAUCAUUCGUGGAUUCUCGUGAAAGCGGACACGCCGCGCGCCGGUAUCUCGCGCACAAACCUUCCGUAAGCUGAAUAAAUUGAUGCGUUUCACUCUUGAAUUCGGCUAAAUGUACAGUGAAAGGCGUAAAGAUAGAGAAUUAAAGUCUCAAAUUUUAAAUAGGUACAAUCGUUGAUCUUCCAAGACAAUGUGGAUUUUAUACAUAAGAAAACUAGAUAGCGAUUAUGUCUGCUUAGGAAGUUAAGAAAUUUUGACAUUGAAAGGAGGAUCUUAAGCAUUGUUUAUAGAUCAAUGAUUGAAAGUGUUUUAACUUAAUAUUGUUUCAUGGUAUCUAACACGAGUAAUCAAUGAAGCAAAACUUGGAACUCCUAAUCAGAUGAUAACAUUACUGCCAGCCAGGUGGUGGUUAAUUAAUUUAAUUAACGAGAUGAACGCGUUCCUCGCUGACAAGACGACUCCACUUGUUUCUUCAGAGCCCUUUCACCGCUGCUUUUGUUUCCAGGUUUGUCGUAGUCAUUAGAUGCGUGUGGCUCUUUUUGUCUUGGUUUCUUGUGUGUUAACUGAAGUUCACUACCGGCUCCUCGGGUAGAUGGAGAUUCGGUGCUGAAGGUCUCCAGAGCGACUGAAGAAAGCAAAAUCAUGUUCAGACGUUACUUAUCUUUGACCUUCAUCCAAACAGACAAACCGAUUUACAAUCCAGACAAACGGAGUUGUCUCCAUGGAUCCCAAAUCUGAGCCUUUUGAUCAAAUGUACAGUCUGGUCGUGGUGGAGAAAAGCGCAGAGCAUGUAAAAACUCAUGAAGUACAGGACGGCGAACCCAGAGCCGCAUGUGAACUCUUCUCCAGGGAGGUAAUCUGACUUUGGGUCACAGCGCUGACCGUACAAACAACCCAACAUGAUCUCCUGCCAGCUCUCACCUGUGGCACACCUGUGGACAGGGACAAACAGAGGACUAUCAGACCUGGAAUGAUUUGAUGAAGGUCCACAGCAGGUUUCGGAUCCCCUCAAAGCGGUUGAGCAGUUUUACCAAACGCAUGACGCGGAAAAGCCGGAACAGUGUGAUUGACACACUCAUGUUCUCGGAGUCCUGAGGAACAAACGCAAACGCUCAGGAAUCCACGGUUAACACCAGCUCAUUUCUUCACUGAAUCUCCACUUACUGCUAUGGCUUGCAUUGGGUUUACUUCCUGGAACAAGAGAUUAUAUAUGGCAGGGAUUACACGUUGAAUCAUUUCACUUGCAAAAUCAAAGUGUUGUUUAAUUAACCUUUGUGCAUCCUUUAAAAAAUGUUACACACAGGUCCAUUGAGGACAACAAUGUCUCACACUCUACAAAUUUGGUCUCAUUUUAGAGAAGAUCCUUGGCAGAUUAUUUAAGUAAAAAAAGUUAUAGAGGUUUAAGUUUAUGAACAAUAUUUUAUAUAAAAUAUAUAUUUUAUAAAACAUGUUGAACUCUAAAACUGCUAGAAAAUCAUAAAUCUAAACAAUUUGCGUUCCAAAUUUGAGGUUGAUAUCUCAAAAAACUGGCUGUUUGAGCGCAGUAACACACUUUCUCCAAUAGAUGGGACACACACUGAUUGGAGUUUUUCUCUCAAAUAUUACAAGCACACACACAAACCAUACUCUGACAUUACAUGACUCAUUACAUCCGCAUAAUUUAUCCAAUUUCCUCUAUAAUAUGCAUAAGCAAAAAACAGGGCCGUUUUGUCCUUAAGGUCCUGAGAGGAACUAUUGUGUGUUACUAGUGCAAAAUAGAUAUAUUAAAGGAAAUGGGGGUGAAAUAUUGAAAUUCCAAUAAAAAUACACGCCUGUACCAAUUUUUAUGCAGUUAGCAUUAACACAGGCAAAAUUAUCAAGAAAACAAAACUGAGAAAUGCCCAUAAGGAUGCACAAGGGUUAAAGUUGCUGACAUGAACUCAUUAAUGGAGUCAUGGAUGUAGAAUAACAGGAUUGGUGUUUACCGAGCAGCCGGUGAGGCAGUAGAGUCCGCCCUGAGCGGCGAGCGCCGCCUGGAGAGAGAAAACCAGUGAAGAAGAGUCUCAGCCAACGUCAGCGACACAACAGACACAUGGUGUUGAGCAUGAUGAGGAGGAACAUCAGGUACUCGAAGUAGCACGAGGUGACGAUGUACCACACCUGAUACUGAUACGGGUUCUUGGGGAUGUAGCAUCUCAGAGGCCGGGCCUUCAGCGCGUACUGGACACACUGGCGCUGGCGGCGGAAAGGAUACUUCCACUCUACAAUGUUGAUGCAGGCCUUGCGGAAGGGGUUCUUCAGCGUGAGGAAGAGGAGGGAUCGAGCGGGC